Non-coding RNA from Globicephala melas (long-finned pilot whale), 6116 nucleotides. NCBI's taxonomy places the organism in Eukaryota, Metazoa, Chordata, Mammalia, Artiodactyla, Delphinidae. The record is from RefSeq and is a predicted model, not a curated record.
CUCACCUCACAGGGGAAAGAAUGAGAGGAGUUCAGCCUUUGAUGAGCUUAUCUAAAAUUUUGCCACCAUAAGUUAUUUUAAUUUGAACGUAUGUGUAAGUUUUGUGCUUUCUGCUUUAGUAUUAUUUUGAUUUUGAUUUGUGUGUGUGGGACACCAUAAUUUUUCAGUUCUUAGGGUCUCUAGAGGUCUUAAUCUGAACUUGAAUGGACCAGUGAAUUUACCAUCAGCAAAUGCUACUUAUACAUUUUCUUGCCAGCCAUAAAUUAAUAUUUAUUGAGUACAGUCUGGGUGCUGGGAGUGGGGAGCAGUGGAUUAGGAAAAUCCUGGGUACCAGGAAGUUUACAGUGAAGCUGGGGUGAAAGAAAGCAGGAAAAUAGUGGAGAUUCAUUUAUAGGGCUAGAUAUCAACAAAUGUAGAUUGAUCUAGUGCACAUUAAGUGCAGAAGUGUUCCAGAGUUGCCAUUGAGGUGUGAGAACAGCCUCAGGAGGGACGACUGUAGAGACUUCUUACAGGAGACAAGUUCCUACUUGGAUUUUGGAGGUUUAAAGAUUCUAUUAAAAUGUAGUAAAUUUGGCUUAACUUUGAAACAGGACUUCAGUGUGUCUAAACUCACUUUAUAUUGAUUUCAAUGGUAACAUUUUCUUUAGAAGUGAUGUAAUUUGAAGUUUAGAAUUGUGUGUUUGUAAUGUGCUUUUCAUUUUUUUCACUUAAAAAUUGUUUCCUUGGGAGAAAAAAAUCUUGUUUACCACAACUACCCCUGUUAAAUGUAGAAGGAAAAACGUGAGGGAAUUAAAAAGAUUAGCGUAACAUCAUUUUUAAAAACUCUUAUUUUUCCUUAACUCUCUCCCCAGUAGUCUUGCCUGAGUAUAUGUAUAAAUGUUGACUACAUAUUGAUGCCCAGCAAAAUUAUGCAGAAAUUCCUAAGUCCUGUAUCACCAGAUAUAGUCACUGUAUACUCUGGAGGCGGGGGGGACUUUUACUCCAUCAUGGGGUCCCUGAAUACUGAUGCAACUGUGUAAUUACUAGCCGCAGGCCUGGCUCUCAGUUAAAUUGUGAAGUUUUUAAGCUAUUAUCCCUUUCUUUACUUCCACACUAUUUUUCUUACCUUUUUUCCCCCACUCUCCUCAGAUGUUAAGGAUAAAGGCUUGAGGUUACUUCAUCCCAGGUCAUUUGCUUUUCUAAGAGGAGACUCUGGGGUUUGCUGUGUGUGAGGUGUAUGGCAAGCACUGUGCUAGGUUCUUUACAUACGUUACUGCAAAAGACUGUGCAGAGAAACAUAUUAAGCUGUUAAGAUCACACAAAUAGCUAGGUUUUGAGUCCUAGUGUUUCAGACUCCAAAGCCUGUGCUCUUUGCACUACAGCAAAACAUUUUAGGACCUAGGAUAAUCUAUGCUGGAAGUUCAGGCUUUGUGCCAGUUCCACAGGAAAAAUGCUUUUGACUGGGAGCAUUGCCCUAGUGCCCUUCAAAUUAGAUGAGGUGGAUCUAAUUAGUCCUCCUAACUCAUAAGGUCAGUUUUGUAUAGUUGCAUCUUAAGUCUUUAAAUGUAGUCUUAUUUGAGGAAGACUUUAAUCUUUGUUUUGAUUUUUUUCAAUUAAAUUCAAUUUAGUGAAUAUUUAUUGAAUGCCUAUUCUUUGCCAGGUACUAUGCUGAUGGUACAAAGACAGUUUAGUUAGGGAGACAUUAUAAGUAACUAUAAUACAAUUCACUGAAUGCUAUAAUAGAUGCAUAUACAAGGGAUCAUGGAAACAUACGAAGGUAUAAUUAAUUUGAGGGAAGAUGUCAAGGAAUGUUGUAUUUGAGCAGAACCUUGAAGGACAAGAAGUAAGAAUUUGCCAGAAGGACAGAAGGAAGUUGAUAAUUCAUUUCAGGUGAUGGGAAUAGCAUGAGCACAUGCGUGUAUAUGUCUGGCAUGUUUGGAAUGUGGUAAGAGUGGUAGAUUGUAAAAAUGGUCACAAGUUCUUCCCUUUCCUGCAUCCAACUCCUGGAAAUGUGAUACUGAAAAUCCUUCCAUUAAGAAGUGGAGUCUGUUUCCCCAUCACUGAAUUUGGGUUGAUCAUGUGACUGACUUGGCCAAUGGACAUUAGUAAAUAUGAAACCAGCAGAGAUUUGAGAAGUGCUUGUGCAGUGGGGCUUCUGUACUUGGAACCCUGAGAUCAUAUUGUGAAUGAACCUAGGUUAUCCUGCUGGAGGAUAAGUAGCCACCUGUAGGAGAGCAGAGGCUCUGGCUGAUAGUCUGCUAAGCACUAGACCUGUGAGUGAGAUCAUCUUGGAUUAUUUAGUUACGAGCUAAUCCACCACUGACCAUGGACACAGGGAGAGUCCUGGGGAAAUCUGUUGUCAGCCUGGACAGGAUGACCCACCUGAGUUGCACAAUUAUGAACUAAAUAAAAUGUUUUACCUAUUAGAUUUGGGGUGUUUUGUAUCAGCUAAGCUAAUCCACAAAAGGUCUGAGUAAAGUGCAAGGAAUGUAGGAGGAAGAAGUAGCUGAAGAUGAUGUGUAACGUUUACGAUAUCACGUUAAGAAGUUUGGACCUAUUUUGUAGGACUAAGCUUCCCAAUACUUCACUGACUCAUGUACCACUUUUAUCUUUUAAAAAAUGUCUGGGGCUUCCCUGGUGCCGCAGUGGUUAAGAAUCUGCCUGCCAAUGCAGGGGACACGGGUUCGAGCCCUGGUCUGGGAAGAUCCCACAUGCUGCGGAGCAACUAAGCCCGUGCGCCACAACUACUGAGCCUGUGCUCUAGAGCCCACGAGCCACAACUACUGAAGCCUACGUGCCUACAGACCUUGCUCCGCAACAAGAGAAGCCACUGCAAUGACAAAUUCGCGCACAGCAAUGAAGAGUAGCCCCGCUCACCACAACUAGAGAAAGCCAUGUACAGCAACAAAGAACCAAAGCAGCCAAAAGUAAAUAAAUAAAAUAAAUAAAUUUUUAAAAAUGUCUGCAUACUCGGAGUUAGAUUUUUAUUUAAAUUGUCCAAUUUUUAUACAACAAUUUACUUUAAAUGCAAACUUAAUAUUAACUUAAAAUCCCAAUUCAAGGUGUUAAUUCUUUUUUAAACCUAUUAAAAAUAUAAAUAUAUAAAAAGUUGGUCUAUUUGGUAUCAAAAAUCAUCUUGUAUAUUUUGAGUGCUGCAUUCUAGGAUUUCCCUGCUAUAAUCAGUAGGAAUCAGGACCAUGAGGAGAAUAAUUUGGAGUGGAGAGGCUGCUGGUAGGGAGGACUGAGGAGGCUGCUGCAGAGGCCCAGAUGGGGUCUGGCACAUGGUUGACAAACUAAGAUGUAUCCUUGAGGAAGAAGAGGAAGUGUCUGGAAACAGAUUUGUUGUAUGUGGGGUGGGAAUGGGGGAUGUGAAGUAUCCACUGAGUAGAUGCUAGUAAGAAAGGGAAGAGAAGAAAAAAAAUAAAGGUAAUAGAUCUGAUGUUGCACUUACUGAGUGUGAGUUAAUAGGUCAUUUGAAAACAGAGGCCCACCAGGCAUUUGCACAUGUAAAAUGUUUUUUUGAGCCAUGUGGCUUGUGGGAUCUUAGUUUCCCCACCAGGGAUUGAACCCGGGCCACUGCAGUGAAAGUGCUGAGUUCUAACCACUGGACCUGCAGGGAAUUCCCUUAAAAUGUUAUUUUUGAAAUCAACAUAUAGGUGAUAAUAUCAUCAAGAGGAAGUGUUUAGUCCAGAGAUCUUCAGCUUAUUCUUGUUUGUUUUUUUCAUCCCCAAACUUUUAUGGGAUAUGAUUUACUCCAGAUAGAAAUAGUGAGUGAUUCACAUAGGUAAUGAUUCUCAAACGGGGGUGGAAAGUACCUGUAUAGUUUUUAAAAAUGUCCCCCAUACGAUUUUGAUAUACUACCCUUCACUCCUUCUUGAUUUAGUGGGAGAUGAGGACAGGGCUGUGGAAAAGGAAUUAGUGAGAAGGGACAGAGCGGGCUAAGAAGUAGACUCCUCUAAGAGGGAGAGAACUUUUACAUAUGUGAAGGAACUUUAAGAUGAAGGGACAAGCCAUGGUACUAAAUUCUGCAGAGAAAUCCAGUAGUUUGAAGAUUAUUCUUUAAGCAAAACUGGUUUAUCACAGUAUAUAAUACUUGGCAUAUAAUAGGAGCACAGUAAAUGUUUGGGUAAAUGAUUUAUGUAGAACUGUUUUGUGUUUGAAACACUUCACAAGCCUUAAAUAUUCAAGUCAGACAGGAUAUGUAAUUGUACUGCUUUGGGCUCCAAAAUCAAUGUGGGUUUUAAACAUUUUGUUUCCCUGUCCAUGAUCAGUGACUUAGAUAUAUGCCCACUAGGGCACCAUAGUCCUGAUCUCAGUGCAAAACAAUGUUUGAGGCUGUUUUCAAGAAUUACUGUCAGUCAGCAUCCUUGUUACGGCCACUCCACGCUUAGGCCUCCUAACCUUUACCACCUGUGGCUCCCAGGAGUAAAUUGUUUGUCUUACGAUGGUUUGGGUUGAUGGAGUGAAUAUACUUGACUGGCAGAACAGGAACGUCAUUGGCCUGUCUGGCUCUCAGGUAAUUUUUACAUUCAUAAUAGCAGCUUCUUUUAUUACUGUGAUUAUUCUUAAAAUGACAUAAAUUUCUACCAGAUCAAGACAGCAGUUUCCUCAGACCAUGAUUUGGUGCCGAUGCGGGAUCCUCAGAGCACGCUCAGCAGUACACACUGGCUUGACAUCUGGCAUCCAUGACUCCUGUGAGAUUGGCUUCCCUCUAGAUGUGCCCUGAAAGCAUCCCUGCUGUGCCCCUUCUGUCCAAGUGUAAACGCAUCACAGGAAACGAACAAGUAAAGAUUCAAGUUUUAUGGAAGGAAUCGAGAACCCCUCACCCAGCUGGAAACCCGGGUUUUGGUGUCCAGGAAAUUUGACCAGCCGUUUGGAUAGAGGCUGUUGUCUGUGGCACCUUAGUCCCCUUCUCCUUCUAAACUUCCCACAUGCUGUCCAUAGCCUCUAUUCUAAGUCAUCCAGCUGAGGAAAAUUGCUUCAGGACCUUUAAAAUGUGAAAUAACGGUUGUCUUUUACUGUGGAUUCAUUAGUGCAGCUGGAUUUAGUUAUUUACAGUUGUAAAUUUGGCACUGUUUUUACUGAGGUAGGGGACUCUUUAAAAUAAUUGAAGCAGUCUAAAGCUAAACCUAUAAAUAAUUAUUCAUUUCCACUUGUUUUAAUAUGGAGAUAAAAAAUAUUAAAAUGAUUAAAGAAAAUAGGUAUAUAACAAGGGAGUUAAGACACCGAAGUAAAAGUAAGAGGAAGAAGCCUUUUCACAUUUCCCUUGCGACUGUCUUCCCAAUUCCAUUUUCGCUCCAGUCUAAUGAAUGUAUUUUAAAUAAAAUUCACAUACUCUCUUUGCUCUCUGUCUUCCUACUACUACAAAUAUCAGCUCAGCCCCUCUUUCAGAUCCACUUCAAGGAAAUGCAGACUUGAAAAACUCUCCCCCAUGGUUUUGUCUGAACUAGCUGCCGUUCUGCAGCACACUGGAUCCAGUUGCUGGAGUGGGGGAACCCGAGAGGUGUACUGUCUGUAGGAUGGAGAUAGACUGAAUACCUGCUUCGCUGAAUACUGGCUUCAGAUCACCUUUCACAUUUUCUUGUUGGAAAGGCAACUGUUGGAGAAUCAUCUUGUUACCGUCAGCAAAAAUGGAAACAAAUCAAGACAUUAAGAAUGCCACGGUGAAGGACUUCCCUGGUGGCCCAGUGGUUAAGAAUCCACCUGCCAAUGCAGGGGACAUGGUUCAAUCCCUGGUCUGGGAGAUCACACAUGCCACGGAGCAACUAAGCCCAUGAGCCACGACUACUGAGCCUACGCACCUAGAGCCCGUGCUCCACAACAAGAGAAGCCACCGCAAUGAGAAGCCUGUGCACCUCAAUGAAGAGUAGCCCUGCUCACCACAACUAGAGAAAGCCCAUGUGCAGCAGUGAAGACGCAACGUAGCCAUAAAUAAUGAAUAGAUAGAUAGAUAGAUAGAAUGCCACAGUGAGUGACCAGCAGUUAAUGAUGCCAGUAUUAUGCAAGCUUCGGCAAAGGAAUUUUUCAAGACAGUGUGCCUCACCAGCCAGAAAUCAGGAAAGUUGAACCUCUCCUUUUUAUCUCAGCUUUUUCUUAAAUCAAUGCAACCCCUCCAAAUUAAAGUGAAUUGAAACAUG